This 550-nucleotide ribosomal RNA is filed under the name uncultured bacterium. RNAcentral's name for it is "bacterial SSU rRNA". It matches the Rfam family "Bacterial small subunit ribosomal RNA", at positions 355 to 896 of the family's 1533-position model. The record is from RNAcentral.
UAGGGAAUCUUCGGCAAUGGACGGAAGUCUGACCGAGCAACGCCGCGUGAGUGAAGAAGGUUUUCGGAUCGUAAAGCUCUGUUGUAAGAGAAGAACGAGUGUGAGAGUGGAAAGUUUACACUGUGACGGUAUCUUACCAGAAAGGGACGGCUAACUACGUGCCAGCAGCCGCGGUAAUACGUAGGUCCCGAGCGUUGUCCGGAUUUAUUGGGCGUAAAGCGAGCGCAGGCGGUUAGAUAAGUCUGAAGUUAAAGGCUGUGGCUUAACCAUAGUAGGCUUUGGAAACUGUUUAACUUGAGUGCAAGGGGGGAGAGUGGAAUUCCAUGUGUAGCGGUGAAAUGCGUAGAUAUAUGGAGGAACACCGGUGGCGAAAGCGGCUCUCUGGCUUGUAACUGACGCUGAGGCUCGAAAGCGUGGGGAGCAAACAGGAUUAGAUACCCUGGUAGUCCACGCUGUAAACGAUGAGUGCUAGGUGUUAGACCCUUUCCGGGGUUUAGUGCCGUAGCUAACGCAUUAAGCACUCCGCCUGGGGAGUACGACCGCAAGGUUG